UUACCCCGCUGGAAAUUAAGCAUAUCAAUAAGCGGAGGAAAAGAAACCAACAGGGAUUGCCCCCAGUAACGGCGAGUGAAGCGGCAACAGCUCAAAUUUGAAAUCUGGCUCUCGGGCCCGAGUUGUAAUUUGUAGAGGAUGCUUUUGGUGAGGUGCCUUCCGAGUUCCCUGGAACGGGACGCCAUAGAGGGUGAGAGCCCCGUCUGGUUGGACGCCGAACCUCUGUAAAGCUCCUUCGACGAGUCGAGUAGUUUGGGAAUGCUGCUCUAAAUGGGAGGUAUAUGUCUUCUAAAGCUAAAUACCGGCCAGAGACCGAUAGCGCACAAGUAGAGUGAUCGAAAGAUGAAAAGAACUUUGAAAAGAGAGUUAAACAGUACGUGAAAUUGUUGAAAGGGAAGCGCUUGUGACCAGACUUGGGCUUGGUUGAUCAUCCGGGGUUCUCCCCGGUGCACUCUUCCGGCUCAGGCCAGCAUCAGUUCGCCCUGGGGGAUAAAGGCAUCGGGAACGUGGCUCUCUCCGGGGAGUGUUAUAGCCCGUUGCGUAAUACCCUGUGGCGGACUGAGGUUCGCGCAUUCGCAAGGAUGCUGGCGUAAUGGUCAUCAGUGACCCGUCUUGAAACACGGACCAAGGAGUCGUCUUCGUAUGCGAGUGUUCGGGUGUCAAACCCCUACGCGAAAUGAAAGUGAACGCAGGUGAGAGCUUCGGCGCAUCAUCGACCGAUCCUGAUGUUAUCGGAUGGAUUUGAGUAAGAGCAUACGGGGCCGGACCCGAAAGAAGGUGAACUAUGCCUGUGUAGGGUGAAGCCAGAGGAAACUCUGGUGGAGGCUCGCAGCGGUUCUGACGUGCAAAUCGAUCGUCAAACAUGGGCAUGGGGGCGAAAGACUAAUCGACCUGCAAGGUG
RNAcentral lists this ribosomal RNA (901 nucleotides) under [Neocosmospora] sp. MSC-2022b. Its description in RNAcentral is "partial large subunit ribosomal RNA". It matches the Rfam family "Eukaryotic large subunit ribosomal RNA", at positions 24 to 950 of the family's 3401-position model. Lineage: Eukaryota; Fungi; Ascomycota; Sordariomycetes; Hypocreales; Nectriaceae. The record is from RNAcentral.